UAAAGAGUUUGAUCCUGGCUCAGAUUGAACGCUGGCGGCAUGCCUUACACAUGCAAGUCGAACGGCAGCGCGGACUUCGGUCUGGCGGCGAGUGGCGAACGGGUGAGUAAUAUAUCGGAACGUACCCAGGAGUGGGGGAUAACGUAGCGAAAGUUACGCUAAUACCGCAUACGUCCCAAGGGAGAAAGUGGGGGAUCGCAAGACCUCAUGCUCAUGGAGCGGCCGAUAUCUGAUUAGCUAGUUGGUGGGGUAAAAGCCUAGCCAAGGAUGUUUUCAUUAAUCCAAGGCGACGAUCAGUAGCUGGUCUGAGAGGACGACCAGCCACACUGGAACUGAGACACGGUCCAGACUCCUACAGUCUUAACCAUAAACUAUGCCGACUAGGGAGGCAGCAGUGGGGAAUUUUGGACAAUGGGGGCAACCCUGAUCCAGCAAUUCAGCCGCGUGAGUGAAGAAGGCCUUCGGGUUGUAAAGCUGAAACUUUUGUCAGGGAAGAAAAGGGAGUGGCUAAUAUCUGCUCCUCAUGACGGUACCUGAAGAAUAAGCACCGGCUAACUACGUGCCAGCAGCCGCGGUAAUACGUAGGGUGCAAGCGUUAAUCGGAAUUACUGGGCGUAAAGCUCUUUCUUGAGUGCGCAGGCGGUUUUGUAAGACUGUCCUUAGUUGGUGAAAUCCCCGGUCUGCUUAACCUGGGAAUGGCGAUGGUGACUGCAACCGGCUAGAGAGCCCGUAUUGCUUUGGCAGUACGCCGGCUUCUUAGAGGGGCUAUCGGCUCAAGCCGGUAGAAUUCCACGUCAGUAGCAGGUGUGAAAUGCCCGUAGAUAUGUGGAGGAACACGCGCGCUACGAUGGCGAAGGCAGCGAGUACCCCCUGGGUCAAAAGGCCCGGCUGACGCUCAUGCACGAAAGCGUGGGGAGCAAACAGGAUUAGAUACCCUGGUAGUCCACGCCCUAAACGAUGUCUACUAGUUGUCGGGUCUUAAGUUGACUUGGUAACGCAGCUAACGCGUGAAGUAGACCGCCUGGGGAGUACGGUCGCAACUACCGAUUAAAACUCAAAGGAAUUGACGGGGACCCGCACAAGCGGUGGAUGAUGUGGAUUAAUUCGAUGCAGACGCGAAAAACCUUACCUACCCUUGACAUGUAACCGCCCGUCGCUACUACCGAUGGAAUCCUCGAGAGAUUGAGGAGUCCGGACUGGCCCGAAAGGGUGGGCAACCAUUACACAGGUGCUGCAUGGCUGUCCAAACUCGGUCAGCUCGUGUCGUGAGAUGUUGGGUUAAGUCCCGCAACGAGCGCAACCCUUGUCAUUAGUUGCUACGAAAGGGCACUCUAAUGAGACUGCCGGUGACAAACCGGAGGAAGGUGGGGAUGACGUCAAGUCCUCAUGGCCCUUAUGGGUAGGGCUUCACACGUCAUACAAUGGUACAUACAGAGGGCCGCCAACCCGCGAGGGGGAGCUAAUCCCAGAAAGUGUAUCGUAGUCCGGAUUGUAGUCUGCAACUCGACUACAUGAAGUUGGAAUCGCUAGUAAUCGCGGAUCAGCAUGUCGCGGUGAAUACGUUCCCGGGUCUUGUACACACCGCCCG
RNAcentral lists this ribosomal RNA (1588 nucleotides) under Duganella callida. RNAcentral describes it as "bacterial SSU rRNA". It matches the Rfam family "Bacterial small subunit ribosomal RNA". The record is from RNAcentral. Lineage: Bacteria; Pseudomonadati; Pseudomonadota; Betaproteobacteria; Burkholderiales; Oxalobacteraceae.